CUCUUUCAAUAUCCUCUAAGUGUGAUUAAAGCGUAUUAUGAACACUUGUGAUUCUCUGUGGCGUGCAUAUCGUUGUGUAAAUUUUACUGAUUGGAAAGUAGAAAGUCGUUUUGACUAAUUUCUGCUGUAAUUAUAAUCUGAAGAAUACUUAGAUCAUGGAUAAAAACAAGUUGGCACGUGUAACCAAAGUCCUGGGCAGAACAGGCUCUCAAGGACAGUGUACUCAAGUACGUGUGGAGUUUUUGGAUGAAUCUAAUCGUUCUAUCAUUAGGAAUGUCAAGGGGCCUGUAAGAGAAGGAGAUAUUCUGACACUUCUUGAAUCUGAAAGAGAAGCCAGGAGAUUAAGAUGAAAAUUUCUUUAAAUAAAAAAAAAAAAUAAGUAAAAAAUUUGCAGCUGUACUUGAAGACUCUUAUUUGUAAUGAUUUAUUUGCAAAGAUAAUUAUUUCAUGAAAUAAACUUGCAGUUGCAAAUUU
Molecule: long non-coding RNA, 474 nt
Organism: Parasteatoda tepidariorum (common house spider)
Lineage: Eukaryota; Metazoa; Arthropoda; Arachnida; Araneae; Theridiidae
Source: RefSeq, a predicted model, not a curated record